GUUGGUUGUUUUUUGGGGCGUUCGGUGGAUGCCUUGGUACCAGGGGCCGAUGAAAGGCGUGGUGGACUGCGAUAUUCCUCGGGGAGUUGUCGAGCGGGCUUUGAUCCGAGGGUGCCUGAAUGGGGGAACCCGGCCAGUUUUGUUGCUGGUCACCAAUCUCUGAAUUGAUAGGGGGUUGGGGGGAACGUGGGGAAGUGAAACAUCUUAGUACCUGCAGGAGAAGAUAUUCCGUGAGUAGUGGCGAGCGAAAGCGGAUUUAUGGCUAAACUCUACUGGUGUCAAGCGUGCGGGCGUUGCUGGUGGGGUGUUGUGGGGUCGCAUGCUGCUUUCCGCAUGGGAGCAGGGCUUUUAGCGUGUUUUGAGUUGAACUGUCUGGGAUGGCAGGCCGUAGAGGGUGAUAGCCCCGUAGGUGGUUGGAAUGCGUUUGGGUUGGUGCGUGUCCCCGAGUAGGGACGGACUCGUGUAAUCUGUCUUGAAUCUGCAAAGACCUCUUUGUAAGCCUGAAUACUUCCUGGUGACCGAUAGUGUAUUAGUACCGUGAGGGAAUGGUGAAAAGUACCCCGGGAGGGGAGUGAAAUAGUACCUGAAACCGGGCGCUUACGAUCCGUCAGAGCCUUGUGGGGUGAUGGCGUGCCUAUUGAAGAAUGAGCCUGCGAGUUAUGUUGUGUGGCGAGGUUAACCCGUGGUGGGGUAGCCGUAGGGAAAGUCCGAGUCUGAAUAGGGCGUUGAGUCGCAUGAUAUAGACCCGAAGCGGGGUGAUCUACGCUUGGCCAGGUUGAAGCACGUGUAGAAGCGUGUGGAGGACCGAACCCACCUGGGUUGAAAACCGGGGGGAUGAGCUGAGUGUAGGGGUGAAAGGCUAAUCAAACUCCGUGAUAGCUGGUUCUCCCCGAAAUGCAUUUAGGUGCAGCGUUGCGUGUUUCUUGCUGGUGGUAGAGCUACUGGUUGACUGAUGGGCCUUGUUGGUUACUGAGGUCUGCCAAACUCCGAAUGCCGGUUAAGUUAAGCGUGGCAGUGAGACUGCGGGGGAUAAGCUCCGUGGUCGAGAGGGAAACAGCCCAGAUCGUCGACUAAGGCCCCUAAGCGUGCGCUGAGUGGGAAAGGAUGUGGAGUCGCGUAGACAACCAGGAGGUUGGCUUAGAAGCAGCCAUCCUUGAAAGAGUGCGUAAUAGCUCACUGGUCAAGUGGUUCCGCGCCGAUAAUGUAGCGGGGCUUAAGCGUACCGCCGAAGUCGCGGCAUCGACACGUGUACACGGCAGCAUUGAGUGUUGUUAGUGGUGUUGUUGGGUAGGGGAGCGUCCUGCCAGAGUUGAAGUCAGGCUGUGAGGUCUGGUGGAUUUGGUGGGAGUGAGAAUGCAGGCAUGAGUAGCGAGUGGAAAGUGAGAAUCUUUCCCGCUGGAUGACUAAGGGUUCCAGGGCUAGGUUUGUCCGCUCUGGGUGAGUCGGGUCCUAAGGCGAGGCCGACAGGCGUAGUCGAUGGGUGACCGGUUGAUAUUCCGGUACCGGCGAAAAACCGUCAGUGGCGAGGAGCCGUGUGCUAACCAAUGAUGUUUUUCCUAGACAGGUUUUCGGAUUUGUUUGGGUUGGUGUUGUUGGGGUCCCGUGGUUUAGUAGUCAAGCGUGUUAACAGGGGUGACGCAGUGAGGUAGCUGGCGCGUGUCUUAUGGCUUGGCGCGUCUAAGAGUGUGGCCUGUCCCUUAGGGAAAUCCGGGGGGCUGUCUUGAAUGGCGAAGGUGAGGCUUGAUGGUGAGACUGUUUAUGGUUGAAGUUCAGUGUGCCUGUGCUGCCGAGAAAAGCCUCGGCGUUAGGUUUUAGCCGCCCGUACCCUAAACCGACACUGGUAGUCAGGUAGAGAAUACUAAAGCGGACGGGUUAAUCAUGGUUAAGGAACUCGGCAAAAUGCCCCCGUAACUUCGGGAGAAGGGGGACCAUGACUGGUGAUGGCUUUUACGGUUUUGAGUUGGUUGUGGUCGCAGUGAAUAGGGGGAAGCGACUGUUUAUCAAAAACACAGGUGCAUGCUAAGCCGUGAGGCGCUGUAUAUGCACUGACGCCUGCCCGGUGCUGGAAGGUUAAGAGGAACUGUUAGCCUUUUUUGGUGAAGCGGUGAAUUUAAGCCCCAGUAAACGGCGGUGGUAACUAUAACCAUCCUAAGGUAGCGAAAUUCCUUGUCGGGUAAGUUCCGACCUGCACGAAUGGCGUAACGACUUCCCUGCUGUCUCGACCGUGAGCCCGGUGAAAUUGCAUUACGAGUAAAGAUGCUCGUUUCGCGCAGCAGGACGGAGAGACCCCGGGACCUUUACUAUAGCUUGGUAUUGGUGCUCGCUUGCGAUUGUGUAGGAUAGGUGGGAGACUGUGAAGCUGGCACGCUAGUGUUGGUGGAGUCAUUGUUGAAAUACCACUCUGUUGUAAGUGGGUUCCUAACUUAGACCCCUGAUCGGGGUCAGGGACAGUGCCUGGUGGGUAGUUUAACUGGGGCGGUUGCCUCCUAAACGGUAACGGAGGCGCUCAAAGGUUCUCUCAGCCUGGUUGGCAAUCAGGUGUUGAGUGUAAGUGCACAAGAGGGCUUGACUGUGAGACUGACAGGUCGAGCAGGUACGAAAGUAGGAACUAGUGAUCCGGCCAUGGCUUGAGGAAGCGUGGUCGCUCAACGGAUAAAAGGUACCCCGGGGAUAACAGGCUGAUCUUGCCCAAGAGUCCAUAUCGACGGCAUGGUUUGGCACCUCGAUGUCGGCUCGUCGCAUCCUGGGGCUGGAGUUGGUCCCAAGGGUUGGGCUGUUCGCCCAUUAAAGCGGUACGCGAGCUGGGUUCAGAACGUCGUGAGACAGUUCGGUCGCUAUCCGCUGCGUGCGUUGGAGUUUUGAGGAGGCCUGUCCCUAGUACGAGAGGACCGGGACGGACGAACCUCUGGUGUGCCAGUUGUUCUGCCAAGAGCAUGGCUGGUUUGCUACGUUCGGGAGGGAUAACCGCUGAAAGCAUCUAAGCGGGAAGCCUGCUCCAAGAUGAUAACUCCCUCAUCCUUGUGGUGGUGAGGCCCCCUGUAGAUGACGGGGUAGAUAGGCCGGACGUGGAAGCAUGGUGACAUGUGGAGCCUACCGGUACUAAUCGGCCGAUAACAACAACAA
Mobiluncus mulieris ATCC 35239 is the source of this 3123-nucleotide ribosomal RNA. It matches the Rfam family "Bacterial large subunit ribosomal RNA". NCBI's taxonomy places the organism in Bacteria, Bacillati, Actinomycetota, Actinomycetes, Actinomycetales, Actinomycetaceae. The record is from Rfam.